This 1227-nucleotide long non-coding RNA is filed under the name Sus scrofa (pig). RNAcentral's name for it is "lncRNA (ENSSSCG00035069391.1)". Lineage: Eukaryota; Metazoa; Chordata; Mammalia; Artiodactyla; Suidae. The record is from RNAcentral.
AGACCCAGUGGGGCCGAGACCCAGGGCCGGCUCUGCAGAUGCUGCCCGUGCUGCUGCCACCGCUGCUGCUGCUGCUGCUUAGCUGGCAGCUGUGGCUCCAACUCAACCUCUAGCCUGGGAACCUCCACGUGCCGCGGGUGCGGCCCUAAAAAGACCAAAAAAAAAAAAGAAGAAGAAUAACGAUGCGCUGGUUCAGCCUCAUCCAAGCAGGUCACACAGGAAUCCAGUGCAGGCCAUCUGACCUCAGGCUGGAGGGCUGAGAGGACCCGGCCACGUGGCCUUGGCAGGCAAGCAUCUUUCUGGACAGCCGGUACCGCUGUGAGGGGGCCCUCAUUUCCCCAGAGUGGGUGCUGACAAGUGCCAGCUGCUUUGGCAGCUGGCCGCUGGCCCUCUUCAGCGUGACCCUGGGCCCAGAUCGGCUGGCGCUGGACACUUGUGGCAGCAAGGCCAGCGUGGAGGCGCUGCUCCUGUCCCCAGGAGGGCCCAAGGCCUCGGGAUCUGGUGCCCUGGCCCUGGCUCGGCUGGCAAGGCCACCAUCUCUCAGCAGUGCCAUAUGGCCUAUCCCUCUGGCCACCCGGGCCCCAGGGGCGGAUCUGCUGGGCCCAAGGCUUUGAUCCUGACUUGGACCCCCACGCCCCACCCCCAAGGCUGGAGAGCACCCCCCUGAGGCUGCUGCACACCAACACCUGCAGAGACACCUUCCGCCUCCAGCCCGACUGUCCGGACCUGCAGGCCCUCCUGCCCAAGGGCUCCCGGUGUCUGAUGGGAGCCCCCUGGUCUGCUUCCAAGCUAGCAGCUGGCGGCUGGAGGGUGUGAUGACCUGGGGUCCCUGCUCCCGGCCUGGCCUCCCUGAGGUCUACACACGUGCCUGUCCCCUCAUUUCUUGGAUUCGGGAGACGGUCUCCAAUGCCACCUUCGAUACCUCAGCCAAGAUGCACUCUUGGGACCGGCCCAGGACCAGGCAGAGGAGGCAGUGAGGGUCCUUCGGGAGUUCUGGGUUUGAAACCUGGCUCAGCUCCUUACCUGCUGCUGCGAUGGUGUCCCAGUCACCUCCCUUCUGAAUCUGCUUCCUCUUUUGUGCAACGGAGAUGUAUUCAAUUAUUCAGUCGUUCCACAGCUGCCACAUGCUCCCUACACAAGGUUGCUACAGCCCCUGUGCUCAUGGAGUCUGGGGGGCGAGGCGAGCAUUAGCCAGCGCUCUCACAAUAAUAAAUGUGCAAAUGCGAA